This 279-nucleotide ribosomal RNA is filed under the name uncultured bacterium. RNAcentral's name for it is "partial 16S ribosomal RNA". It matches the Rfam family "Bacterial small subunit ribosomal RNA", at positions 506 to 784 of the family's 1533-position model. The record is from RNAcentral.
UGCCAGCCGCCGCGGUAAUACUUAUGGUCCGAGCGUUGUCCGGAAUGACUGGGCGUAAAGGGUGCGUAGGCGGCUACAUAUGUCAGGUGUGAAAUCCCCGGGCUUAACCUGGGAACUGCGCUUGAAACUGUGUAGCUUGAGUCCGUGAGAGGUUAGCGGAAUUCCCGGAGUAGCGGUGAAAUGCGUAGAUAUCGGGAGGAACAUCAGUGGCGAAGGCGACUUUCUGGACUGAUACUGACACUGAGGUACGAAAGCGUGGGUAGCAAACAGGAUUAGAUA